This 1467-nucleotide long non-coding RNA is filed under the name Parus major (Great Tit). Its description in RNAcentral is "lncRNA (ENSPMJG00000009274.1)". Lineage: Eukaryota; Metazoa; Chordata; Aves; Passeriformes; Paridae. The record is from RNAcentral.
GAUAAAUCAAAAUGCAGAAAUGCUUCUUUCUGGAAUCCCACAGUUGUAGCUAGGACUUGGUUGUAGUCUUAGGUGAAUAACCUGGUUCACACAGCUGUUUAAAGACAGAGAAAUAGAAAUUGCUGGAGAAAUUGUGUUUUUAUUGUCCAGAAAAGGAAAGGUAUUCCAAAGAGCUGACAAAUAAUUCUGCAUAACCCAAAGUAGUCCUGUUGGCACAGGAUAUGGUAUUGUUUUCUAAGUUUAAACAGUAAUAAGAGAUUGUGUGUACAUAUCCUGAUACUGUCAAUUGUAUUCCUGACAAAAUCACAAGAGAUUCAAGAAGUCUCCACGCUUAGAACACAUCCCCUUUUGCACCAAAGGGCUGGGAAUGCCAAGUGGCUGCUGUCGCUAGCUCAUCCUGUGCAUCCCUUUGGAAUGCUGCUUGCAGAGCCAGUUUAAAACUAGCGCUUAUUCUUGGCAGUGCAAGCACGUAUGAAAGCAGAGGUGUGAACAGGGACGUGUACCACCACCAAGGAUACUGGGAACUGCAAUAAAGCCCGGGCAGCCCAUCAAGUAGCCCUGCAGAAGCCAGGAAUGGUGAUCCAGGCCAACACAGAGCUGCAGUCACGUGAGGAAGAAAAUCCCAGAUCUUACUGUGUGGUUUAUAAUGAAGCUUCACACCUGAGUUUGAAGCCUGCAUGCACGGCUUUUGUGACACAGUGGCUACUCUAAGGUAACCAAUGCAUAUUAAGAAGGCACUUUCUGUAGGACAGAUGUUCCCUCAGGAGUCCUGUGCCAGACCGGGCUGUGACGGACUCUUUCCCCCUGCCCUUUGCAGAUAAUUCUGCUUUGCCCAAACAGGCCCCCGGCACGGCCACUGCUGAGAGCCGCCAGCCCUUCUUCCCUGCGCGGUGUGAGCCAGCGCCUGUGGGAAACCCGGCUGGAAGCGGCCCCUGGAGCGAGGGCCCGGCUCUCGCAGCAGGGAGAGCUGGCAGCUCUGGGAGUAGGGGGCGAUAGGGAGGAUCCCAGCGCCGAGCCCUUCUCGCCAUCGGCAGCAGGGAGAAGGGGCAGAGAUCUGAUCUCACAUUGUACAGCCAGCGCUGCCCCGUGAGCCCGGCGCAGAGGAGAGGCCGGGAGCUCACUGAACGGCAGGGACCAGAGAGUGAGGGAAAGCGGCAGCGGGCUCAUCCCCAGGCCGUGUGCCCAGCCCAGGACAGAUCAUUCCCCGGUGAUGUGCAAUACUUGCCCAGACCAGGACAGACCCGAAAAGGUCUGUCUGACACAUCUGAGCUCGUCUGCACCCACAGAACCUGAGUCAGAGACCUGCCUUCCAAGGAGCCCCCAGUCCUGAAAGGUGCUGUAAGAGGACGUGAGCCUUCUCCUCCAACACUGGCAUAAAUACUGUUUGCAGGGGGGAAGAAAAUAUUGUGCCUGCUCCUUUUUCUAUGGGAUGGUCAAAUAAACUAAACCAGUGACAGUAGUAAAACA